Molecule: small nucleolar RNA, 105 nt
Filed under: Ricinus communis (castor bean)
Lineage: Eukaryota; Viridiplantae; Streptophyta; Magnoliopsida; Malpighiales; Euphorbiaceae
Description: Small nucleolar RNA Z103
Rfam family: Small nucleolar RNA Z103
About the family: This family consists of several snoRNA Z103 sequences which are members of the C/D class of snoRNA which contain the C (UGAUGA) and D (CUGA) box motifs. This family seems to be found exclusively in plants. C/D box small nucleolar RNAs are known to act as a methylation guides for 18S ribosomal RNA.
Source: Rfam by way of RNAcentral
AUGGAAGUGAUGAUUAUUUCCCAGAUGAUUGACACUAAACAAACUGAGCAUUUUUAUUUCACUUUUUUUUAUUAAACGAGAAUUUAAGCUAGGAAACUCAUCCAU